GACGAAGGUGGCGAGCGUUGUUCGGAAUCACUGGGCAUAAAGCGCACGUAGGCGGCGGCGUAAGUCGGAUGUGAAAUCCCUGGGCCUAACCCAGGAACUGCGUCCGAUACUGCGUUGCUUGAGGACCAAAGGGGUGCAUGGAAUUCCCGGUGGAGCGGUGAAAUGCGUAGAUAUCGGAAGGAACACCAGUGGCGAAAGCGGCUUCCUGGUCCGACACCGACGUUCAGGCACGAAAGCGUGGGGAGCAAACAGG
This 253-nucleotide ribosomal RNA is filed under the name uncultured bacterium. Its description in RNAcentral is "partial 16S ribosomal RNA". It matches the Rfam family "Bacterial small subunit ribosomal RNA", at positions 524 to 776 of the family's 1533-position model. The record is from RNAcentral.